CGUACGAAGAGUUUGAUCCUGGCUCAGGAUGAACGCUGGCGGCGCGCUUCAUGCAUGCAAGUCGAACGAGAGAUCGGGCUUCGGCCCGUGAUCUAGUGGCGGACGGCUGAGUAACACGUGAGGAACUUGCCCUCCGGUGGGGGACAACCACGGGAAACCGUGGCUAAUACCGCAUGAUGUCACGUUUCAUAAGGGAUGUGACCAAAGAUUUCGGUUGCCGGAGGAGAGUCUCGCGGCCUAUCAGCUAGUUGGUGAGGUAACGGCCCACCAAGGCGAUGACGGGUAGCCGGUCUGAGAGGAUGAUCGGCCAGAGGGGGACUGAGACACGGCCCCCACUCCUACGGGAGGCAGCAGCAGGGAAUCUUGCGCAAUGGGCGAAAGCCUGACGCAGCGACGCCGCGUGGGGGAUGAAGGCUCUAGGGUU
This 424-nucleotide ribosomal RNA is filed under the name Chloroflexota bacterium. Its description in RNAcentral is "bacterial SSU rRNA". It matches the Rfam family "Bacterial small subunit ribosomal RNA", at positions 1 to 424 of the family's 1533-position model. The record is from RNAcentral. Lineage: Bacteria; Bacillati; Chloroflexota.